Molecule: ribosomal RNA, 834 nt
Filed under: uncultured bacterium
Lineage: Bacteria
Description: bacterial SSU rRNA
Rfam family: Bacterial small subunit ribosomal RNA
Source: RNAcentral
CACAUGCAAGUCGAGGGGCAGCAUGGUCUUAGCUUGCUAAGGCCGAUGGCGACCGGCGCACGGGUGAGUAACACGUAUCCAACCUGCCGUCUACUCUUGGACAGCCUUCUGAAAGGAAGAUUAAUACAAGAUGGCAUCAUGAGUCCGCAUGUUCACAUGAUUAAAGGUAUUCCGGUAGACGAUGGGGAUGCGUUCCAUUAGAUAGUAGGCGGGGUAACGGCCCACCUAGUCUUCGAUGGAUAGGGGUUCUGAGAGGAAGGUCCCCCACAUUGGAACUGAGACACGGUCCAAACUCCUACGGGAGGCAGCAGUGAGGAAUAUUGGUCAAUGGGCGCAGGCCUGAACCAGCCAAGUAGCGUGAAGGAUGACUGCCCUAUGGGUUGUAAACUUCUUUUAUAAAGGAAUAAAGUCGGGUAUGUAUACCCGUUUGCAUGUACUUUAUGAAUAAGGAUCGGCUAACUCCGUGCCAGCAGCCGCGGUAAUACGGAGGAUCCGAGCGUUAUCCGGAUUUAUUGGGUUUAAAGGGAGCGUAGAUGGAUGUUUAAGUCAGUUGUGAAAGUUUGCGGCUCAACCGUAAAAUUGCAGUUGAUACUGGAUAUCUUGAGUGCAGUUGAGGCAGGCGGAAUUCGUGGUGUAGCGGUGAAAUGCUUAGAUAUCACGAAGAACUCCGAUUGCGAAGGCAGCCUGCUAAGCUGCAACUGACAUUGAGGCUCGAAAGUGUGGGUAUCAAACAGGAUUAGAUACCCUGGUAGUCCACACGGUAAACGAUGAAUACUCGCUGUUUGCGAUAUACUGCAAGCGGCCAAGCGAAAGCGUUAAGUAUUCCACCUGGGG